GUGAACCUUUGGGCUGCUGCUGCUGCUACGGUUGCGGCUGCUACUGUGUGUACACUUUCCCCAUAGGAAUGCCACAGGAGAGAGACUUCCUCCUCCUCCUCUUCCUACCAUCUCCUCUGCUGCCAGCAAUGAGCCCUGGGGGGCAUGCACAGACACUCAGGGUUUACGGAUGACCAGAAGGCGCGGCUUCUCCUUUCUGCUGACAGUGGGAAGCAUGGGAAACACUCAUACCACACAGUUGCCCGACCCCCCUCUCCAGCUCUGUCACCACCCAUUUCCUCCCAAGAUGGAAGGCUGCCUUUUCUUGCCAAUGUCCCUGCAUUGGCCAGAAGCACACAUUGUAUCUUUGGAGAGGUUCCAGGGCCCACACCUGGGUUAGCCCUGUUCUGGAACAUGCCUAGCAGCAGAAAAAUAGUCAUUACUGAGCCCUCUUCUGGGGGACUCCAGGCUCAUUGUGUCCCCCUGCCUCCCCUUGUAGAGGCUAGAAAGCUUUUGGAGAAGCACCUCUUGGGCACAGAGAAAUAGUCAGAAUGUGGAGCUUCUCAGGGUCGUUUCUUUGCACCCCAAGUGUUUCAGAGAAGGAGGGGGGUGGUGAGGCGGUUGAGGAAGGAUGAGAACGUGAGAAGAGAGAACCAUCCUAGUUUCUAUAGCAACCACACAUGUGAGCCAGCUGCUGUUGCCAUGGAAACAAGGAGAGCCUGCUCAGAGCCCGAACCCUCUCAGGGGAGACACAAUUUUUGAAAGGAAGAAAAAAAAAUAAAAAUAAAAAGCCAACAACAACAACAAAAAGAAAAAACCUAACAACAACAGAAACCCCGAACCUUUGGUAAAAAUAAAUAAAAAAUAAUAAAAGUCACCGUCUCUGGGUCUUGCUAGUGCUGUUGCUUGUGAGGUGACAAAGGAGAGGAGGGGGAGGCUGGUUGAGGAGGAGGUGUGGGCAAGAGCAUUUGCUGCAGGAGAGGGAGAUUUGUUGAGUCAGUAUUUCAG
Molecule: long non-coding RNA, 987 nt
Filed under: Cricetulus griseus (Chinese hamster)
Lineage: Eukaryota; Metazoa; Chordata; Mammalia; Rodentia; Cricetidae
Description: lncRNA (ENSCGRG00000026539.1)
Source: RNAcentral